GUCCUACGGGAGGCAGCAGUGGGGAAUAUUGCACAAUGGGCGCAAGCCUGAUGCAGCAACGCCGCGUGAGGGACGACGGCCUUCGGGUUGUAAACCUCUUUUAGCAGGGAAGAAGCGAAAGUGACGGUACCUGCAGAAAAAGCACCGGCUAACUACGUGCCAGCAGCCGCGGUAAUACGUAGGGUGCAAGCGUUAUCCGGAAUUAUUGGGCGUAAAGAGCUCGUAGGCGGUUUGUCGCGUCUGCUGUGAAAACUGGAGGCUCAACCUCCAGCCUGCAGUGGGUACGGGCAGACUAGAGUGCGGUAGGGGAGAUUGGAAUUCCUGGUGUAGCGGUGGAAUGCGCAGAUAUCAGGAGGAACACCGAUGGCGAAGGCAGAUCUCUGGGCCGUAACUGACGCUGAGGAGCGAAAGGGUGGGGAGCAAACAGGCUUAGAUACCCUGGUAGUCCACCCCGUACGUUGGGAACUAGUUGUGGGGUCCAUUCCACGGAUUCCGUGACGCAGCUAACGCAUUAAGUUCCCCGCCUGGGGAGUACGGCCGCAAGGCUAAAACUCAAAGGAAUUGACGGGGACCCGCACAAGCGGCGGAGCAUGCGGAUUAAUUCGAUGCAACGCGAAGAACCUUACCAAGGCUUGACAUAUACGAGAACGGGCCAGAAAUGGUCAACUCUUUGGACACUCGUAAACAGGUGGUGCAUGGUUGUCGUCAGCUC
RNAcentral lists this ribosomal RNA (712 nucleotides) under Microbacterium aurum. RNAcentral's name for it is "bacterial SSU rRNA". It matches the Rfam family "Bacterial small subunit ribosomal RNA", at positions 335 to 1061 of the family's 1533-position model. Lineage: Bacteria; Bacillati; Actinomycetota; Actinomycetes; Micrococcales; Microbacteriaceae. The record is from RNAcentral.